UAUAUAACAUUCCCUAGUAAUAUUCUGUUCCCAAGUAGACACCAACAAUACAGAAUCAAGAUGUUCAUGUAACACAUUUAAAUUUUGAGUAAAAACAUGUGAAACAAAAGAAUGUAAAGCAUCAGUGUUAAUCAAAAUAUGUGCAAGGUGUUUGUAGAUAAUAUACAUACCAUAAAUCACAUCUGGAUUAGCUUCAGCAUCCUACUGGGUGAACGUGUAAACUUUGCCCUAGACAGUGGGUCUGAUCUGAUUCUGAUUCCUUAGGUACUCUCUCACGUAGUAUUGGGUACUUCCAUAUAUGUGACGGAUGUUGUUGAGUCGAUAACAAGGGAGACUGAUCCUUGUCACAGUGUUUGCAAUCUUGUCGCGUCUUACUAUUGAGGCCUAAAGAUGAACCUAAGGUGUAGGUCUUGAUCUCUUAUUUUGGUAGUUCAAUGCAGUAAGUGCUGGUUAGCAAUGCAGAACUAAGGGCCAGGAGUUACCCACUGCUGAGGAA
This 496-nucleotide long non-coding RNA is filed under the name Carica papaya (papaya). Its description in RNAcentral is "long non-coding RNA (CPAP_LNC009094)". Lineage: Eukaryota; Viridiplantae; Streptophyta; Magnoliopsida; Brassicales; Caricaceae. The record is from RNAcentral.